AUACGUAGGGGGCGAGCGUUGUCCGGAAUGACUGGGCGUAAAGGGCGUGUAGGCGGCGGUGUAAGUCUGGAGUGAAAGUCCCGCAUUCAAUGUGGGAAUUGCUUUGGAUACUGCAGUGCUAGAGUGCGGAAGAGGUAAGUGGAAUUCCCAGUGUAGCGGUGAAAUGCGUAGAGAUUGGGAGGAACACCAGUGGCGAAGGCGGGUAACUGGACUGCAACUGACGCUGAGGCGCGAAAGUGUGGAGAGCAAACAGGAUUAUGUACCCUGGUAGUCCACACUGUAAACGAUGAAUGCUAGGUGUAGGAGGUAUCGACCCCUUCUGUGCCGCAGUAAACACAGUAAGCAUUCCGCCUGGGGAUUACGGUCUCAAGAUUAAAACUCAAAGGAAUUGACGGGG
RNAcentral lists this ribosomal RNA (397 nucleotides) under uncultured bacterium. RNAcentral's name for it is "partial 16S ribosomal RNA". It matches the Rfam family "Bacterial small subunit ribosomal RNA", at positions 523 to 918 of the family's 1533-position model. The record is from RNAcentral.